Molecule: ribosomal RNA, 851 nt
Filed under: uncultured bacterium
Lineage: Bacteria
Description: bacterial SSU rRNA
Rfam family: Bacterial small subunit ribosomal RNA
Source: RNAcentral
AGUCGAGGGGCAGCGAGAUUGAAGCUUGCUUCAAUUGUCGGCGACCGGCGGACGGGUGCGUAACGCGUAUGCAACCUACCCAUAACAGGGGGAUAACACUGAGAAAUUGGUACUAAUACCCCAUAACAUCUCGAGUGGCAUCACUUGGGGUUGAAAGCUUCGGUGGUUAUGGAUGGGCAUGCGUUGUAUUAGCUAGUUGGAGAGGUAACGGCUCACCAAGGCGACGAUACAUAGGGGGACUGAGAGGUUAACCCCCCACAUUGGUACUGAGACACGGACCAAACUCCUACGGGAGGCAGCAGUGAGGAAUAUUGGUCAAUGGACGGAAGUCUGAACCAGCCAUGCCGCGUGCAGGAUGACGGCUCUAUGAGUUGUAAACUGCUUUUGUACGAGGGUAAACCCGAAUACGUGUAUUCGGCUGAAAGUAUCGUACGAAUAAGGAUCGGCUAACUCCGUGCCAGCAGCCGCGGUAAUACGGAGGAUCCAAGCGUUAUCCGGAUUUAUUGGGUUUAAAGGGUGCGUAGGCGGUCAGAUAAGUUAGAGGUGAAAUUCCGGUGCUUAACACCGGCGCUGCCUCUAAUACUGUUUGACUAGAGAGUAGUUGCGGUAGGCGGAAUGUAUGGUGUAGCGGUGAAAUGCUUAGAGAUCAUACAGAACACCGAUUGCGAAGGCAGCUUACCAAGCUAUAUCUGACGUUGAGGCACGAAAGCGUGGGGAGCAAACAGGAUUAGAUACCCUGGUAGUCCACGCAGUAAACGAUGAUAACUCGUUGUCGGCGAUACAAUGUCGGUGACUAAGCGAAAGCGAUAAGUUAUCCACCUGGGGAGUACGUUCGCAAGAAUGAAACUCAA